AAAGUCGUAACAAGGUUUCCGUAGGUGAACCUGCGGAAGGAUCAUUACAAGUAAAUACGUGUUCCUAGGAAUAUGCAUUUUCAAACCCCUCUGCGUACCUUACCUGUUGCUUCCGUGCUGCGCGGACUUCGGUCCCCUCCCUCGCUGGAGUGCCGGCACGGCUAACAAAACUCAUGCAUUUCAUGUCGUCUGUCUGAACUGAUAAAUACAAAAAGUUAAAACUUUCAACAACGGAUCUCUUGGUUCUC
Molecule: unclassified non-coding RNA, 248 nt
Filed under: Ascomycota sp.
Lineage: Eukaryota; Fungi; Ascomycota
Description: partial contains small subunit ribosomal RNA, internal transcribed spacer 1, and 5.8S ribosomal RNA
Rfam family: Eukaryotic small subunit ribosomal RNA (bases 1-47)
Source: RNAcentral